UGGCAGCCCCCGCCCUCGCCCUCCGCCCCUCGACACAGACUCAAAGGUAGAGGAUGGAGUCCAGCCCCUCCCCUACAGCUCCCCCCUGAAUCUAGAGGCGAGAGUGGUCCCACCGCUGUCAAGUCACUCCUCCCUGAGGCCAGUUUUCCCCACGAGUGUCUUCGAUGGGAGAGGAAAGCCACCUCCGUGGGUUGCGUGUUUGUGAAACGAAGAUGGGAACGGAGACUCGGCAGGUCCCGGGAGAAGCUGACGCGCCCCCGCGUCCCCAGCACCCCCGGCCGGGCUUGUGCGGACGUGUCUCGGGCGUGACCUCUGAGCAGCUGCGCCACCGGCUCAGCCUCGCGGCGGGAGAAACCCGAGCUCCCAACAAAACAGUUCCAUCUUUGGCAAGUCCUCUGAUACCAGGUGGUCAGCAGAGGCUCAGAAGCUUUACAUCUUUACAAGAGGAAGUCUCCUUUCUAAUAUCAUCCCCCCCGUCCCCAAACUGAUUCCACUUGGCCUCUACUUGCCUGAGAAGAAAACUAGUAAUUAGGAAGCAUGGUCUUGUUAAAGCCGUGGCCUGGGAAAUGGUUCUCUUGGCACCUCAUCAGGACUUGUGACAAGGCAAGUUUUUGCAAAAUGUGGGCAGCAGGGGACCUCGCCCCAGGCUCAGCGCUCAGCGGCCUAAAGAUUGGGAGGAAUGUGCCGUCUGAGGGCCCUGGCCUGAGGUGGCUGACGCAGAGCCCAGCCGCCCAGGGGAGCCUCCCUGGCCUCCUGUUCCCUGAGGAGGUCUCCCCUGAGGUCAGCAAGGAGACUCCACCCAGCUCAGGAGCCUUAAUCCCUGGGGACUGAAGCCACCCUUAGGUGCAGGUUUCAGCUUGCUGCUGUCCUGGAUCCAACCUUUUCCACUCCUGGGCCCCCUUGGCCCCACCGGGGCGAGCCCACAGGGCUCUGGAAGCUCUUCCUCUGGCCUUUUUCUCAAAUUCAGUACUGGGAGGGAGGAAUCGGCCUGUUCUCCUCAAAAUGGGCCAGAGUGGAGUAGGUGCUGGGGCCCUGGGCUUUGCCCCCUCACUGGGCCUGGCGUCCUCCAGCUGCCUCCUCUCUGUCCCCCCACACCUCCAAAUCUGCCUGGUGUUCUUCUGGGUCCUGCUGAGAGGCUGCCUCUACCAGGAGCCUUCCCCAGUCGUCCCAGUUGCCAUUACCUUCUUCUUUCUCUUCUCGACUAUAUUGGGUAUAGUUUUUAGGUUAGUUCUUGACUUGUCUCACCUUUGACUCAGAGCUGCUGGAAGGAAGAGAAGGAACAGAAGUUGGAGAGGUGAAGCAUAUCCAGCCAGGUGCCGCAGUUGGAAUCACACACAGAACUGACUGUUGAUUUCCCCUCACAGUUUUGGCAAAGCAAGUUGGAGGCUUUCUGUAAAACCCUGAGAUGAGCAGUUCUUUAAAAAAUGCUGAAUUAUUUUAAAUAUACAGAAAAUAUUAUAAUAGGCACUCAUGUGUCCACCACACAAGAUACCAGAUAAUAGUAUUUGACUUAA
RNAcentral lists this long non-coding RNA (1514 nucleotides) under Sus scrofa (pig). Its description in RNAcentral is "lncRNA (ENSSSCG00040007585.1)". Lineage: Eukaryota; Metazoa; Chordata; Mammalia; Artiodactyla; Suidae. The record is from RNAcentral.